GACGAACGCUGGCGGCGUGCUUAACACAUGCAAGUCGAGCGGUAAGGCUCCUUCGGGAGUACACGAGCGGCGAACGGGUGAGUAACACGUGAGUAAUCCGCCCUUCACUUCGGGAUAACCACCGGAAACGGUGGCUAAUACCGAAUACGACCAGUCUUCGCAUGAGGUGCUGGAGGAAAGUCUUUUCGGUGAAGGAUGUGCUCGCGGCCUAUCAGCUUGUUGGUGGGGUAAUGGCCUACCAAGGCUUCGACGGGUAGCCGGCCUGAGAGGGGGACCGGCCACACUGUGACUGAGACACGGCCCAGACUCCUACGGGAGGCAGCAGUAGGGAAUAUUGGACAAUGGGCGAAAGCCUGAUCCAGCAACGCCGCGUGAGGGAUGACGGCCUUCGGGUUGUAAACCUCUUGCAGUACCGACGAAGCGCCCAGUCGGGUGGUGACGGUAGGUAAAGAAGAAGGACCGGCCAACUACGUG
This 474-nucleotide ribosomal RNA is filed under the name uncultured bacterium. RNAcentral describes it as "partial 16S ribosomal RNA". It matches the Rfam family "Bacterial small subunit ribosomal RNA", at positions 28 to 507 of the family's 1533-position model. The record is from RNAcentral.